Molecule: long non-coding RNA, 206 nt
Filed under: Musa acuminata (dwarf banana)
Lineage: Eukaryota; Viridiplantae; Streptophyta; Magnoliopsida; Zingiberales; Musaceae
Description: long non-coding RNA (MACU_LNC001865)
Source: RNAcentral
UAAAUAUUUGUCAUAAAUAUUCAUAGAAUAGUUGAUGCCAACUCAUUUCUUAGAUUGGUUUGGAGAAAUUAACAUAAAAUAGAUCUCAUUAACAUUAACAUAGACACUCAUCUCUUCUUUACAUUGAAAAAUAUAUUGUUUGUAAUUAUUAAUUAACGAGGGUAAAAUAGCUCAUCAAUAAAGAAAUAUGCGUGAUUGAUGUCAAC